Acanthosepion pharaonis is the source of this 104-nucleotide non-coding RNA. Lineage: Eukaryota; Metazoa; Mollusca; Cephalopoda; Sepiida; Sepiidae. The record is from the annotation of a GenBank genome assembly.
UUACGGCCAUUUCACGUUGAACGACCGAUUCUCGUACGAUCACCGAAGUUAAGCAACGUCGAGCCUGGCCUGUACCUAGAUGGUCGAGCGCAUGGGAAUGUGAG